AAUUUAUCCAGAUUCUUUGAGAAAGAGGUAAGCUCAAUGUUUGUUUCAGUCUAAUUUUUUAGUAUUUUUUAAUUUCUUCGCAUCUACUAAAGAAUUUAAAUUUGAACUAUGUCUCAGGAGAAGCAUUUGAAUGAUUACAGAACAAGAUGGUUUUACAAAUACUUUUGAUCUCACCCAACUGUGUGGUAUUUAUAGUUUGCUCAUUUGUAUACAAUCGUCGGCUUUACAACCUUGUUUGCUCAACCCAAAAAAAGGUGGACAGAGACUGUCUGUUUCAUCACUCACCAAGCACACCCAACUUAAAUUUAAGGAGAACAACACAAGAAGACAUGAAGCACCUAAACGGAAGUGAAUAAUUAAUUAACCAUAUAAAACCAUGUCCUCACACGUUAAAGUUGUUUACAUUUCCUCAUAAAUGAAUUUGUACAAAUUCGAACAAGCUUGUCAGCAUGUACGAGUAGUAUUUGUGUUAGAAAAUACAAGAAAAAAAGAUCUCUUAAGUUCUCAACUUUUGCUUGAUCUUGUGUGUUGGACUGUUAGUGUUCAUAUGGCGCAGCCCAAAUAUUCUUGUCCUGUAAUUGAACACAAGAAUCUGUUGAGUUGAUGUGCAGCCUCCUGUAAUUGAACACAAGAAUCUGUUUAGUUGGUGGUCUGGUCAUGGAGCUCAAAUUUGAUCCAAUAUGAAUUAUGAUACGUAUUGCGUACUCUAAAUAUUUAUGUUUAAUUUUUGCAAAAAAAAACUAUAUAAGCCUUAGCUGCAGCUAUAGCUGCUACAGAACCCAUUCGCUAAAAUACCUAGACUGAGAUUUUGAACAUUGAUGGCAGUGAAAGGAAUCAGGCUCCAAAAACAGGGAGCGAGAAUAUGUGUGUUGUCUUGCAAGUCCUCCUUCAUGAACGAGUUGCUUCUUUUAUUUUUUUAAACCUCUAAAUAUCUAUUCAAAAUCAUACACAGUACUUCACUUUGUUCUUCAUGAUAUACAAUUCUCUAAGUCAAAGGAACCUUGUGCCUCCUGUGUUUCCAUGCUUUACUAUUGAAUAAUGAACAUAACUGAUUCGCAAUUAUUUAGAGAAUGUUGUAGGAUUUUCCUAUUCUACCUAAACUAAAGUCACCCCAUCCUUCACCUGUUCAAUUACUCCAUAUGCACAAUUUUUAUAACAGAUAUAUGCACAUUUUUAUAACAAAUAAUUUUGGCAUCAUCAAGUGUAAAAACUUGCAGUGUCGUACUGUCUGCUAACAAAUUGUAAUACAGUUAGUUGUUGUGGGAAAUGGUAAUAUUUGUUGUUGUUUGAGCUGUCUUCUUUAAAUAAUGAACAUUGCAUUGAAGUUUUGUAGCUCAGUAGGAUGCCAUUGCUUUAUUUCUUCUUGCCAAUCUUUUGAGUGUCUAUAACUGAUUGACGCAGCCAUCCUGAAUUUUGAGAUGCAUCUGUUACAAUGGAAUCCUAUGUCAUGUACUCCUGCAAUACUUUUAUUUACAAAUAACAAAUCACUACACGCUUUCCACUUCUUUACAAGUAACUUCUUUAUGUAUAUUUUUUUUGCAGUACUUAAUGAGAAAUGGAAAGGUCCAACCGAUACAAUUGAAUAGUUACCCAAAAGGUUAUAUUCUGCAACAUAAUCUCUCAAUCUGUUACGCAUCUACACAUAUACAAUUUCUUUUAGUGUACAUUCGUUCAUAUGAAUUAUUUCGUAGCUGCCAUGAUGUCGUGCUUCCAUUUUUCUGUUUAAUUACUGAAACCAUAGUUCCUUAUAUACGAAAUCUAGUUCAAAACAGCCGCUCUCGCGGUGUCCACGUCGCCCAGAUGUUUUCAGGUGUACGAUUUCCAAUCAAUGGUGAAGGCAAGGUCUUUCUCUCAUGGUCAAUGCAUAUUCUACUUAUCCAGUUCGGCGCCAUCGUUUUGUUCAGUGUUUGCUCGGCUUCGUGGUUUUGGGGUUCGUAUUCUUCGUUUGUGAGAUUCAUCCGAAACUAAAUACCCUUUUUUCCCUUAUAUUUUCUACCUGUUGCUGCGUAUUAAAGAACCUUAUCAAGUUCGACGUCAGUGCCUCCAAGCGUUUUCUCUAGAAACUCUUUCCCUAGCCCCUCACCCUUUUCUCCUCCUCUGUUAGCAGAAUCAACAAUGAGUGUAGUUUGUUUCGUUUUCUAAUUUCUCUACUAUUCGUUCCCCAAAUAUUUUAUUUUUAAAUCAGGAAAAAAGGGGUUACUUACCUCUUUUUGGUUUUCGAUUUUUGUUGUUCAGAUUCUAAUCCUCUUUUCCUUUUUAAUCUAGAAAAGGAGGGGUUGUCUACCUCUUUUGGUUUUUGAUUUUUGUUGUCUAGAUUCUAAUCAUGUUUUCCUGCAAAGAAAGUACGUGGUUGGGCAGCGAGCAAGUGGCGUUUCUAUACGCGGAAGUAAGUCCUAUCAUAGUGUCUGCUUGAAAGUGCCUUGCGAUUUGUUGCUUCGCUUAAUGACAUGCAACAAAACAACAAGGGGAUUAACAUUUUACUUUCAAUACUUUAGACCGGCACUCAUGUCCGUUUUUGUAUUCAAUAUUGAAGGCCAAUUUCUGGCUUCUCUUUGCAAUGUGCUUUGUUGGGAUUGAAUCUAGAAUCAUUGUUCUUAAUAAUCUAGCACAAAUAUGAACUACUGCAGGUGCUGCCGACACCACCAUCUUGCUCUUUAUCUUCAGUAUCUGCAACUUUUUUGGCUGACUGGGGGAGGUGUUCUUAUUCCUGAGUCCCUUAGCUGAGGGUGAAAGGGCUAUAAAGCCAAGAAGAGGAAGAAGGGGUGAAGAAUUCAGGUUUUCGGAAGCAAUACUGAAGACUAUUUUUUGGUUUCUCUUUGCAAUAUGCUCUAUUGGGAUUGGAUUUUCAAUCACUGUUAUUAAUAAUCUAACACAAAUAUGAGUUGUUGCAUGUCAUGUCGACACAACCAUCUCACUCUCUGCCUUCAGUUUUUGCAAUUUUUGGCUGCCUGGGAGGUGUUGUUGUUCCUGAGUAUCUUGUCAGGUAACAGGAUAUUUCAUAUUUACUCUUGGAAAUAAUUGCUUUUGUAUGGUGAACCAUGCACAAUUAAACAUAGAAAAAUCAUGUUCCUUUGGUGUGAUUGGGUGGAAUCCAACGAUAAGAUGUAUGUUACUGUCAAACUUUGUAUGAAUGAUUUAGUCUACAUUUUGGAAGUGUCAUUCAUAGUUGAUGUUAGAAAGUGUACCACGACUAUCGUCUGGCAGAUAUGUCGGCCGACCUGUAUGGAAGUGUUGUCUCUGAUAUAGAUAGAGAGGAUUAGGGGGAUCUCAAUCCCUCUGAUUGAGGAUCUAAUUCUAGUCUCAAUCCCUAUGAUUGAGGAUCUGAUUCUAGUCUAGGAUCUUUCCUUAGGUGUAGAAGUUUUCCUUUUACCUCUCACCUUCCUCCCCUAUAUAUACUUGUACAUGUAAUGUCUAUUAUCAUCAAUACAAACACACGCUUUCAACUCA
RNAcentral lists this long non-coding RNA (3447 nucleotides) under Zea mays. RNAcentral's name for it is "long non-coding RNA (ZMAY_LNC000034)". Lineage: Eukaryota; Viridiplantae; Streptophyta; Magnoliopsida; Poales; Poaceae. The record is from RNAcentral.